CCUAUAGCUCAGGGGAUAGAGCACUGGUCUCCGGAACCAGGUGCGAGGGUUCGAAUCCCUCUAGG
RNAcentral lists this transfer RNA (65 nucleotides) under Dialister invisus. It matches the Rfam family "tRNA". Rfam says of the family: Transfer RNA (tRNA) molecules are approximately 80 nucleotides in length. Their secondary structure includes four short double-helical elements and three loops (D, anti-codon, and T loops). The record is from RNAcentral. RNAcentral also lists the same sequence under 2 other names. Lineage: Bacteria; Bacillati; Bacillota; Negativicutes; Veillonellales; Veillonellaceae.